RNAcentral lists this ribosomal RNA (417 nucleotides) under uncultured bacterium. RNAcentral describes it as "bacterial SSU rRNA". It matches the Rfam family "Bacterial small subunit ribosomal RNA", at positions 1000 to 1414 of the family's 1533-position model. The record is from RNAcentral.
CCCGAAAGGGUCGGGUGCCCGCAAGGGAGCGUGGAGACAGGUGGUGCAUGGCUGUCGUCAGCUCGUGUCGUGAGAUGUUGGGUUAAGUCCCGCAACGAGCGCAACCCUCACCCCUUGUUGCCACCGGGUAAUGCCGAGCACUCUAGGGGAACUGCUAGCGUUAAGCUGGAGGAAGGCGAGGAUGACGUCAAGUCAUCAUGCCCCUUACGCCCUGGGCUACACACGUGCUACAAUGGGGUCGACAAAGAGAUGCAAAGCCGCGAGGUAGAGCAAAACUCAAAAACGGCCUCUAAGUUCAGAUUGCAGUCUGCAACUCGACUGCAUGAAGGAGGAAUCGCUAGUAAUCGCGCAUCAGCACGGCGCGGUGAAUACGUUCCCGGGCCUUGUACACACCGCCCGUCACACCACGAAAGCCGG